GACGAACGCUGGCGGCGUGCUUAACACAUGCAAGUCGAACGGUGAAGCGCCUUCCUUUUUGGUGGGUGUGGAUGAGUGGCGAACGGGUGAGUAACACGUGAGUAACCUGCCCCCUUCUUCUGGAUAACCGCAUGAAAGUGUGGCUAAUACGGGAUAUUCUGGGUCUGUCGCAUGAUGGGUCUGGGAAAGAUAUUGUUUCGGUGGGGGAUGGGCUCGCGGCCUAUCAGCUUGUUGGUGGGGUGAUGGCCUACCAAGGCGGUGACGGGUAGCCGGCCUGAGAGGGUGGACGGUCACACUGGGACUGGGACACGGCCCAGACUCCUACGGGAGGCAGCAGUGGGGAAUACUGCACAAUGGGCGCAAGCCUGAUGCAGCGACGCCGCGUGAGGGAUGGAGGCCUUCGGGUUGUGAACCUCUUUCGCCAGUGAAGCAGGCCUGCCUCGUUUGUGGGUGGGUUGACGGUAGCUGGAUAAGAAGCGCCGGCUAACUACGUG
This 494-nucleotide ribosomal RNA is filed under the name uncultured bacterium. RNAcentral describes it as "partial 16S ribosomal RNA". It matches the Rfam family "Bacterial small subunit ribosomal RNA", at positions 28 to 507 of the family's 1533-position model. The record is from RNAcentral.